UACGUAGGCAGCGAGCGUUGUUCGGAAUUACUGGGCGUAAAGAGUGUGUAGGCGGUGCUCUAAGUUCGGUGUGAAAUCUCCCGGCUUAACUGGGAGGGUGCGCCGGAAACUGGAGUGCUCGAGCGUGGGAGAGGAAAGCGGAAUUCCUGGUGUAGCGGUGAAAUGCGUAGAUAUCAGGAGGAACACCAGAGGCGAAGGCGGCUACCUGGACAAUUGCUGACGCUCAGGCACGAAAGCGUGGGGAGCAAAAGGG
This 253-nucleotide ribosomal RNA is filed under the name uncultured bacterium. RNAcentral's name for it is "partial 16S ribosomal RNA". It matches the Rfam family "Bacterial small subunit ribosomal RNA", at positions 524 to 776 of the family's 1533-position model. The record is from RNAcentral.